RNAcentral lists this ribosomal RNA (251 nucleotides) under uncultured prokaryote. Its description in RNAcentral is "partial 16S rRNA". It matches the Rfam family "Bacterial small subunit ribosomal RNA", at positions 525 to 775 of the family's 1533-position model. The record is from RNAcentral.
ACGGAGGGUGCAAGCGUUAUUCGGAAUUACUGGGCGUAAAGCGCACGUAGGCCGCCUUGUAAGUCAGGGGUGAAAUCCCACGGCUCAACCGUGGAACUGCCUUCGAAACUGCAGAACUUGAAUACUGGAGAGGGGGACGGAAUUCCUGGUGUAGGGGUGAAAUGCGUAGAUAUCAGGAGGAACACCUGUGGCGAAAGCGGUCACCUGGACAAGUACUGACGCUGAGGUGCGAAAGUGUGUGGAUCAAACAG